CAGUCGCCGCGGGAAUACGAAGGGUGCAAGCGUUAAUCGGAAUUACUGGGCGUAAAGCGUGCGUAGGCGGUUUGUUAAGUCUGUUGUGAAAUCCCCGGGCUCAACCUGGGAAUGGCAAUGGAUACUGGCAAGCUAGAGUGUGUCAGAGGAUGGUGGAAUUCCCGGUGUAGCGGUGAAAUGCGUAGAGAUCGGGAGGAACAUCAGUGGCGAAGGCAGCCCCCUGGGCCAAUACUGACGCUCAUGCACGAAAGCGUGGGGAGCAAACAGGAUUAGAUACCCCAGUAGUCCCUGUCUCUUAUAC
RNAcentral lists this ribosomal RNA (301 nucleotides) under uncultured bacterium. RNAcentral describes it as "partial 16S ribosomal RNA". It matches the Rfam family "Bacterial small subunit ribosomal RNA", at positions 509 to 807 of the family's 1533-position model. The record is from RNAcentral.